Callithrix jacchus (white-tufted-ear marmoset) is the source of this 1473-nucleotide RNA transcript. It is a transcript of the gene named mamu class I histocompatibility antigen, alpha chain F-like, with no coding region annotated. The record is from RefSeq and is a predicted model, not a curated record. NCBI's taxonomy places the organism in Eukaryota, Metazoa, Chordata, Mammalia, Primates, Cebidae.
GUCAUGGAGCCCCGAACGCUCUUCCUGCUACUCUUGGGGGCCCUGACCCUGACCGAGACCUGGGUGGGCUCCCACUCCUUGAGGUAUUUCAGCACCACCGUGUCCCCGCCCGGCCGCUGGGAGCCCCGAUACAGGUACAUCGGAGUGGGCUACGUGGACGACACGCAGAUCGUGCGGUUCGACAGCGACGCCGCGAGUCCGAGGAUGGAGCCGCGGGCACCGUGGGUGGAGCAGGAGGGGCCGGAGUAUUGGGAGGAGGAGACACUGGUAGUCAAGGCCAGCGCACAAACUGACAGAGUGAAACUGCGGAUCGCUCUCGGCUACUACAACCAGAGCGAGGCCGGGUCUCACCCUCCAGGGAAUGAAUGGCUGAGAUGUGGGACCCGAUGGACACUUCCUCCGCGGGUAUCACCAGCACGCCUACGACGGCAAGGACUACAUCUCCCUGAACAAGGACCUGCGCUCCUGGACCACGGCGGAAGUGGCGGCUCAGAUCACGCAGCGCAAGUGGGAGGCAGAGAAAUAUGCAGAGGAAUUCAGCACCUACCUGGAGGGCGAGUGCGUGGAGUGGCUCCACAGGUACCUGGAGAACGGGAAGGAGACGCCGUAGCGCGCCGAUCCUCCAAAGGCACACGUUGCCCAUCACCCCAUCUCUGACCAUGAGGCCACCCUGAGGUGCUGGGCCUUGGGCUUCUACCCUGUGGAGAUCAUGCUGACCUGGCAGAGGGAUGGAGAGGAUCAGACCCAGGACACAGAGCUUGUGGAGACCAGGCCUGCAGGGGAUGGAAACUUCCAGAAGUGGGCAGCUGUGGUGGUGCUUUCUGGGGAGGAGCAGCGAUACACCUGCCAUGUGCAGCACGAGGGGCUGCCAGAGCCCCUCACCCUGAGAUGGGAGCCAUCUUCCCAGCCCACCGUCCCCAACAUGGGCAUCAUUGCUGGCCUGGUUGUCCUUGGAGCUGUGGUCACUGGAGCUGUGAUGUGGAGGAAGAAGAUCUCAGGUUGGGAAGGGACAGAAACAGAGAGAGCUGCUCUCAGGCUGCAAUGUGAUAUAGCCGCCUUGUGUGGGACUGAGAAGCAAGAUUUGUUCAUGCCUCCCUUUUGUGACUUUGAGUACCCCAAAUUCUCUUUCUGCAACGGUGUCCAAAUGUGUCUUCAUCCCUGUUAGUAUAAUGUGAGAAAGUGGGGGACCAGUCCACCCCCGUGUCCUCCAUGACCCCCUUCCCCGCACUGCCCCAUAUUGUUUCUACCCAAUGAUCCUUCCUGUUCCAGAGACAUGGGACUUGGAUGUCUUUAUUUCUGUCUGAACUUCAUGGUGUACUGAGCUGCAACUUCCUACUUCCCUAUUAAAAUUAGAAUCUGAGUAUAAAUUUACUUCUUCAAAUUAUUGCCAUGGGAGGUUGAUGAGUUAAUUAAAGGAGGAGAUUACUAAAAUUUAAGAGACAAAAUAAAUGGAAGACCUGAGAACCUUCCAGA